GGAAACACUUCAACAUUGCAUUUCAUGGGCGUCCGGAUUACGUACUGGAAACAGUGUCUUUUGAAGAUAAAAGAAAAAUAUUGCAACUUAUGGGCAAAAUUGUUCAGAGCGGUUCAUAUGGGAGACCUGAAGAGUCCUGCUUCGGCAGACCCACAGUACUCGAUGUGAUACAUGAAGGACUUCUGGAUUUGCAGGAAGAUGGUUUGGCAUCUGUGAAAUGGGUGACAUACCUGGUACAGCUACGUGAAGGAGAAUUGAGUUUGUCCUGCAUUGGCCACAGUGGAGAAGACAAGAAUGUGGCCACUGUAGCAAAUACGAUUCAUUUGUCAGGUGGCAAUGUCAGAGUCUAUAAAGGGAAUGAAUGCAGUACCUUUACAGUCCAGACCAAAGAACACAAUUAUUUGUAAGUAUAGC
Molecule: long non-coding RNA, 414 nt
Filed under: Crocodylus porosus (Australian saltwater crocodile)
Lineage: Eukaryota; Metazoa; Chordata; Crocodylia; Crocodylidae
Description: lncRNA (ENSCPRG00005004849.1)
Source: RNAcentral